This 468-nucleotide ribosomal RNA is filed under the name uncultured bacterium. Its description in RNAcentral is "partial 16S ribosomal RNA". It matches the Rfam family "Bacterial small subunit ribosomal RNA", at positions 28 to 507 of the family's 1533-position model. The record is from RNAcentral.
GACGAACGCUGGCGGCGUGCUUAACACAUGCAAGUCGAACGGAAAGGCCCUGCUUUUGUGGGGUGCUCGAGUGGCGAACGGGUGAGUAACACGUGAGUAACCUGCCCUUGACUUUGGGAUAACUUCAGGAAACUGGGGCUACUACCGGAUAGGAGCUCCUGCUGCAUGGUGGGGGUUGGAAAGUUUCGGCGGAUGGGGAUGGACUCGCGGCUUAUCAGCUUGUUGGUGGGGUAGUGGCUUACCAAGGCUUUGACGGGUAGCCGGCCUGAGAGGGUGACCGGCCACCUGGGGACUGAGAUACGGCCCAGACGCCUACGGGAGGCAGCGGUGGGGAAUAUUGCACAAUGGGCGGGAGCCUGAUGCAGCAGCGCCGCGUGCGGGAUGACGGCCUUCGGGUUGUAAACCGCUUUCGCCUGUGACGAAGCGUGAGUGACGGUAAUGGGUAAAGAAGCACCGGCUAACUACGUG